Molecule: unclassified non-coding RNA, 99 nt
Organism: Chlorocebus sabaeus (green monkey)
Lineage: Eukaryota; Metazoa; Chordata; Mammalia; Primates; Cercopithecidae
Rfam family: Y RNA
About the family: Y RNAs are components of the Ro ribonucleoprotein particle (Ro RNP), in association with Ro60 and La proteins.
Source: Ensembl
GGCUGCUUCGAUGGUAGUGGGUUAAUGAGAACUUAUUAAUAACAUUCGUAUCACUAAAGUUGGUAUACAACCACCACUGAUGAAUUUGACUGGUUUAGA